GACGAACGCUGGCGGCGUGCUUAACACAUGCAAGUCGAACGGAAAGGCCCUGCUUUUGUGGGGUGCUCGAGUGGCGAACGGGUGAGUAACACGUGAGUAACCUGCCCUUGACUUUGGGAUAACUUCAGGAAACUGGGGCUAAUACCGGAUAGGAGCUCCUGCUGCAUGGUGGGGGUUGGAAAGUUUCGGCGGUUGGGGAUGGACUCGCGGCUUAUCAGCUUGUUGGUGGGGUAGUGGCUUACCAAGGCUUUGACGGGUAGCCGGCCUGAGAGGGUGACCGGCCACAUUGGGACUGAGAUACGGCCCAGACUCCUACGGGAGGCAGCAGUGGGGAAUAUUGCACAAUGGGCGGAAGCCUGAUGCAGCAACGCCGCGUGCGGGAUGACGGCCUUCGGGUUGUAAACCGCUUUCACCUGUGACGAAGCGUGAGUGACGGUAAUGGGUAAGAAGCACCGGCUAACUACGUGCCAGCAGCCGCGGUGAUACGUAGGGUGCGAGCGUUGUCCGGAUUUAUUGGGCGUAAAGGGCUCGUAGGUGGUUGAUCGCGUCGGAAGUGUAAUCUUGGGGCUUAACCCUGAGCGUGCUUUCGAUACGGGUUGACUUGAGGAAGGUAGGGGAGAAUGGAAUUCCUGGUGGAGCGGUGGAAUGCGCAGAUAUCAGGAGGAACACCAGUGGCGAAGGCGGUUCUCUGGGCCUUUCCUGACGCUGAGGAGCGAAAGCGUGGGGAGCGAACAGGCUUAGAUACCCUGGUAGUCCACGCUGUAAACGGUGGGUACUAGGUGUGGGGUCCAUUCCACGGGUUCCGUGCCGUAGCUAACGCUUUAAGUACCCCGCCUGGGGAGUACGGCCGCAAGGCUAAAACUCAAAGGAAUUGACGGGGCCCCGCACAAGCGGCGGAGCAUGCGGAUUAAUUCGAUGAAACGCGUAGAACCUUACCUGGGUUUGACAUGGAUCGGGAGUGCUCAGAGAUGGGUGUGCCUCUUUUGGGGUCGGUUCACAGGUGGUGCAUGGCUGUCGUCAGCUCGUGUCGUGAGAUGUUGGGUUAAGUCCCGCAACGAGCGCAACCCUUGUUCACUGUUGCCAGCACGUUAUGGUGGGGACUCAGUGGAGACCGCCGGGGUCAACUCGGAGGAAGGUGGGGAUGACGUCAAGUCAUCAUGCCCCUUAUGUCCAGGGCUUCACGCAUGCUACAAUGGCUGGUACAGAGAGUGGCGAGCCUGUGAGGGUGAGCAAAUCUCGGAAAGCCGGUCUCAGUUCGGAUUGGGGUCUGCAACUCGACCUCAUGAAGUCGGAGUCGCUAGUAAUCGCAGAUCAGCAACGCUGCGGUGAAUACGUUCCCGGGGCU
This 1345-nucleotide ribosomal RNA is filed under the name uncultured bacterium. RNAcentral's name for it is "partial 16S ribosomal RNA". It matches the Rfam family "Bacterial small subunit ribosomal RNA", at positions 28 to 1381 of the family's 1533-position model. The record is from RNAcentral.